Small nucleolar RNA from Cavia porcellus (domestic guinea pig), 137 nucleotides. The record is from Ensembl. Lineage: Eukaryota; Metazoa; Chordata; Mammalia; Rodentia; Caviidae.
AUAGCUCUGAAUCAAGGCUGGCAGCUUGCUGAAGCUGUUGGUUUCAAGCAGGAGUCUAAAGUGGUACCUUUCUAUGAUCUGUUGUCCACUUUAGAACUCUAGAAAUGUAAUGGUCAAAUCUUUAGAAAGAAACAAUU